RNAcentral lists this ribosomal RNA (1121 nucleotides) under Bacillus sp. (in: firmicutes). Its description in RNAcentral is "bacterial SSU rRNA". It matches the Rfam family "Bacterial small subunit ribosomal RNA", at positions 61 to 1166 of the family's 1533-position model. The record is from RNAcentral. Lineage: Bacteria; Bacillati; Bacillota; Bacilli; Caryophanales; Bacillaceae.
GUCGAGCGAACAGAAGGGAGCUUGCUCCCGGAUGUUAGCGGCGGACGGGUGAGUAACACGUGGGUAACCUGCCUGUAAGACUGGGAUAACUCCGGGAAACCGGAGCUAAUACCGGAUAGUUCCUUGAACCGCAUGGUUCAAGGAUGAAAGACGGUUUCGGCUGUCACUUACAGAUGGACCCGCGGCGCAUUAGCUAGUUGGUGGGGUAAUGGCUCACCAAGGCGACGAUGCGUAGCCGACCUGAGAGGGUGAUCGGCCACACUGGGACUGAGACACGGCCCAGACUCCUACGGGAGGCAGCAGUAGGGAAUCUUCCGCAAUGGACGAAAGUCUGACGGAGCAACGCCGCGUGAGUGAUGAAGGUUUUCGGAUCGUAAAGCUCUGUUGUUAGGGAAGAACAAGUGCGAGAGUAACUGCUCGCACCUUGACGGUACCUAACCAGAAAGCCACGGCUAACUACGUGCCAGCAGCCGCGGUAAUACGUAGGUGGCAAGCGUUGUCCGGAAUUAUUGGGCGUAAAGGGCUCGCAGGCGGUUUCUUAAGUCUGAUGUGAAAGCCCCCGGCUCAACCGGGGAGGGUCAUUGGAAACUGGGAAACUUGAGUGCAGAAGAGGAGAGUGGAAUUCCACGUGUAGCGGUGAAAUGCGUAGAGAUGUGGAGGAACACCAGUGGCGAAGGCGACUCUCUGGUCUGUAACUGACGCUGAGGAGCGAAAGCGUGGGGAGCGAACAGGAUUAGAUACCCUGGUAGUCCACGCCGUAAACGAUGAGUGCUAAGUGUUAGGGGGUUUCCGCCCCUUAGUGCUGCAGCUAACGCAUUAAGCACUCCGCCUGGGGAGUACGGUCGCAAGACUGAAACUCAAAGGAAUUGACGGGGGCCCGCACAAGCGGUGGAGCAUGUGGUUUAAUUCGAAGCAACGCGAAGAACCUUACCAGGUCUUGACAUCCUCUGACAACCCUAGAGAUAGGGCUUUCCCUUCGGGGACAGAGUGACAGGUGGUGCAUGGUUGUCGUCAGCUCGUGUCGUGAGAUGUUGGGUUAAGUCCCGCAACGAGCGCAACCCUUGAUCUUAGUUGCCAGCAUUUAGUUGGGCACUCUAAGGUGACUGCCGGUGACAAACCGG